CUUGGUCAUUUAGAGGAAGUAAAAGUCGUAACAAGGUUUCCGUAGGUGAACCUGCGGAAGGAUCAUUAUCAAAACAGCGGACUUCGGUCCUUGCUGCACCCUUGUCUUUUGCGUACCGUAUGUUUCCUCGGCGGGCUUGCCUGCCGGUUGGACAAUAUCAAACCUUUUUGUAGUUGCAAUCAGCGUCAGAAAACAAAUAAUAAUUACAACUUUCAGCAACGGAUCUCUUGGCUCUCGCAUCGAUGAAGAACGCAGCGAAAUGCGAUAAGUAAUGUGAAUUGCAGAAUUCAGUGAAUCAUCGAAUCUUUGAACGCACCUUGCGCUCGUUGGUAUUCCGACGAGCAUGCCUGUUUGAGUGUCAUUAAAUUCUCAACCUCAUCGCUUUUGUGAUGAUGGCUUGGAAGUGGAGGUUUUUUGCAGGCUGAAAAGUCUGCUCCUCUCAAAUGAAUUAGUGGGUGCCCCGCGCAAACCUAUCUAUUGGUGUGAUAAUUAUCUACGCCGUGGAUCCUUAGGAUUGCUGUAAAAAGGUGUUUGCCCUGCUUCUAACCGUCUUCGGACAACUUGAACCAUUUGACCUCAAAUCAGGUAGGACUACCCGCUGAACUUAAGCAUAUCAAUAAGCGGAGGAAAAGAAACUAACAAGGAUUCCCCUAGUAACUGCGAGUGAAGCGGGAAAAGCUCAAAUUUAAAAUCUGGCAGUCUUUGAUUGUCCGAGUUGUAAUCUAGAGAAGCAUUAUCCGCGCUGGACCGUGUACAAGUCUCCUGGAAUGGAGCGUCAUAGAGGGUGAGAAUCCCGUCUUUGACACGGACUGCCAGGGCUUUGUGAUGUGCUCUCAAAGAGUCGAGUUGUUUGGGAAU
Molecule: small RNA, 858 nt
Filed under: uncultured Panaeolus
Lineage: Eukaryota; Fungi; Basidiomycota; Agaricomycetes; Agaricales; Bolbitiaceae
Description: eukaryotic LSU rRNA
Rfam family: Eukaryotic large subunit ribosomal RNA (bases 572-858)
Source: RNAcentral